GGUUUUGGAUAUUAUUGCAACCAUAAACAAGGGAUCCAUUGUCUGGCAGGAGGUUUUCGAUGAUAAAGCGAAGAUUUGAUUAGUUAUGGACAAGAUUGGAGGAAAUACUAUAAAGUGGAACCUCUUGAUUUUGGUGGUACUCAGGAACAGAAACAACUUUUCAUUGGUGGAGAAGCUUGUCUAUGGGGAGAAUAUGUGGAUGCAACUAACCUCACUCCAAGAUUAUGGCCUCGGGCAAGUGCUGUUGGUGAGAGACUCUGGAGUUCCAAAGAUGUCAGAGAUAUGGAUGACGCCUAUGAGAGACUGACAAGGCACCGCUGCAGGAUGGUCGAACGUGGAAUAGCUGCACAACCUCUUUAUGCUGGAUAUUGUAACCAUGAGAACAUGUAAAAAAUGGAGAGGAAAAAGGCCACAGCAAUCUGUACUACAAUCAACUUUAUUUUGAAAUCAUGUAAAAUAAGAUAUUAGACUUUUUUAAAUAAAAUAUUUUUAUUGAUUGA
Molecule: small RNA, 500 nt
Filed under: Pongo abelii (Sumatran orangutan)
Lineage: Eukaryota; Metazoa; Chordata; Mammalia; Primates; Hominidae
Description: processed transcript
Source: RNAcentral